AUCUAUGGCCAUAUCACCCUGGCAACUCCUGAUCUUGUCUGAUUUUGGAAGCUAAGCAGGAUCAGGCCUGGAUAAUACUCGGAUGGAGAGACAUCCAGGGAAUACUAGUUGCUGUAGGCA
RNAcentral lists this ribosomal RNA (120 nucleotides) under Anser brachyrhynchus (Pink-footed goose). Lineage: Eukaryota; Metazoa; Chordata; Aves; Anseriformes; Anatidae. The record is from RNAcentral.